Molecule: ribosomal RNA, 135 nt
Organism: Erinaceus europaeus (western European hedgehog)
Lineage: Eukaryota; Metazoa; Chordata; Mammalia; Eulipotyphla; Erinaceidae
Source: Ensembl
AUCUACAGCCACACCACCCUGAACAUGCCCGAUCUUGUCUGAUCUCAGAAGCUAAGCAGGGUCAGGCCUGGUUAGUACUUGGAUGGGAGGUAUACACAAAUCUUUUUGUAUGAGUGUUUUUGGUUAUUUAAGAUA